This 69-nucleotide transfer RNA is filed under the name Marmota monax (woodchuck). RNAcentral describes it as "tRNA.Ala". The stretch from base 5 to 63 matches the Rfam family "tRNA", at positions 7 to 64 of the family's 71-position model. From Rfam's summary of the family: Transfer RNA (tRNA) molecules are approximately 80 nucleotides in length. Their secondary structure includes four short double-helical elements and three loops (D, anti-codon, and T loops). The record is from RNAcentral. Lineage: Eukaryota; Metazoa; Chordata; Mammalia; Rodentia; Sciuridae.
GGAGGUGGCUCAGUGGUACAGUCUUUGCCUGGCAUGCAUGAAGCCCUGGGCUCAAUUCCCAGCAUCACA